This 464-nucleotide ribosomal RNA is filed under the name uncultured bacterium. RNAcentral's name for it is "partial 16S ribosomal RNA". It matches the Rfam family "Bacterial small subunit ribosomal RNA", at positions 339 to 795 of the family's 1533-position model. The record is from RNAcentral.
CUACGGGAUGCUGCAGUGGGGAAUAUUGCACAAUGGGCGCAAGCCUGAUGCAGCCAUGCCGCGUGUAUGAAGAAGGCCUUCGGGUUGUAAAGUACUUUCAGCGGGGAGGAAGGGAGUAAAGUUAAUACCUUUGCUCAUUGACGUUACCCACAGAAGAAGCACCGGCUAACUCCGUGCCAGCAGCCGCGGUAAUACGGAGGGUGCAAGCGUUAAUCGGAAUUACUGGGCGUAAAGCGCACGCAGGCGGUUUGUUAAGUCAGAUGUGAAAUCCCCGGGCUCAACCUGGGAACUGCAUCUGAUACUGGCAAGCUUGAGUCUCGUAGAGGGGGGUAGAAUUCCAGGUGCAGCGGUGAAAUGCGUAGAGAUCUGGAGGAAUACCGGUGGCGAAGGCGGCCCCCUGGACGAAGACUGACGCUCAGGUGCGAAAGCGUGGGGAGCAAACAGGAUUAGAUACCCCCGUAGUC